This 1033-nucleotide long non-coding RNA is filed under the name Heterocephalus glaber (naked mole-rat). RNAcentral describes it as "lncRNA (ENSHGLG00000033003.1)". Lineage: Eukaryota; Metazoa; Chordata; Mammalia; Rodentia; Bathyergidae. The record is from RNAcentral.
CCACUGUGGCACACAUGCCAUUGGUUUACCAUCUUUGCUGUAUACCUAUUUUUGUGGCUUUUCAGCUGCCACCUAUUUGCUGAUGGUUCCCAAAUUCGUAUCUCCAGUCAACCUCUCUCCAGAGCUUCUGACCUAUAUUUCCAGUUGGCCUCUUCAUGUGAAUGCUGUCUAAACCGAAUAUAUCCCAAUCUGAAUUCCCCAUCUGUCUCAGUGCUUGUUUCUUGUCUUUUAACUGCUGUGGUACAGGGGAAUGAACCCAGGGCUUCACACAUGCCGGGUAAGCUCUACCGCUGAGUUACAUCCCCAGCUCUUUUUACUUUUAGUUCGAGACAGUCUUGCUAAGUUGCCCAGGCUGGCCUUGAAAUUUUGAUCCUCCUGCCUCAUCCUCUCAAGUAGCUGGGAUUGCAGAUGUGUAGCACCACACCCAGAUGUACUUCUGGUUUUUCUAAAUCUAACAAUGCUACACCAGGGUGGUAGUAUUAAGAGGCAGGGUCUUUAAGAGCUUAUAAGGCCAUGACGGCUUGUCCCUGCUUAAAGGAUUAAGCUUGUAAAUAAGUCUCCGUGGAGCAUUUGGCCAGCCUGCCCUUGUACCCUUCUGCCAUGCCAGGACACAGCAUCCUGCCUUCUGGGUGAUGCAGCAAAAAGACCUUCAUCAGAUGCAGCACCUGAUCUUGGACUUCAUAAGCUCUACAACUGGAUUGAACUCGGGUCCUUGCACUUGUGAGGCAGGCGCUGGAACCACUGAGCCAAAUCCCUGGCCCCAAGUAUUUCAUCCUUUGUCAUUAAGGUCUCCCUCAGGCUGACCCACAACACACUAUGUACCCCAGGCUGGCCUUGAACUCUCGGUGAUCCAACUGCCUCAGCCUCCUGUGUGCUGGGAUUACAGGCAUGCACCACCAGGCCUGGCUCGAUUGAUUGAUUUUUUUUUUUAGGUACUAGGAUAGAACUCAGGACCUUGCUCUUGCCAGGUGAGUGCAGCUGAGCCACAUCCCUGGCCCAGAUUGAUUGAUCUUUGAAUGUAAACCAAUUUUGA